CAGCMGCCGCGGUAAUWCGUAGGGUGCGAGCGUUGUNCGGAUUUAUUGGGCGUAAAGGGCUCGUAGGUGGUUGAUCGCGUCGGAAGUGUAAUCUUGGGGCUUAACCCUGAGCGUGCUUUCGAUNCGGGUUGACUUGAGGAAGGUAGGGGAGAAUGGAAUUCCUGGUGGAGCGGUGGAAUGCGCAGAUAUCAGGAGGAACACCAGUGGCGAANGCNGUUCUCUGGGCCUUUCCUGACNCUGAGGAGCGAAAGCGUGGGGAGCGAACAGGCUUAGAUACCCUGGUAGUCCACGCUGUAAACGGUGGGUACUAGGUGUGGGGUCCAUUCCACGGGUUCCGUGCCGUAGCUAACGCUUUAAGUACCCCGCCUGGGGAGUACNGCCGCAAGGCUAAAACUCAAAGGAAUUGACNGGGCCCCGCACAAGCGGCGGAGCAUGCGGAUUAAUUCGAUNCAACGCGUAGAACCUUACCUGGGUUUGACAUGGAUCGGGAGUGCUCAGAGAU
This 502-nucleotide ribosomal RNA is filed under the name uncultured eubacterium HdEPI1. RNAcentral's name for it is "bacterial SSU rRNA". It matches the Rfam family "Bacterial small subunit ribosomal RNA", at positions 509 to 1007 of the family's 1533-position model. The record is from RNAcentral. Lineage: Bacteria; Bacillati; Actinomycetota; Actinomycetes.